AACGCACAUUGCGCCCAUUAGUAUUCUAGUGGGCAUGCCUGUUCGAGCGUCAUUUCAACCCCUAAGCACAGCUUACUGUUGGGACUCUACGGCCUCCGUAGUUCCCUAAUGCGAUUGGCGGAGUGGCAGUAGUCCUCUGAGCGUAGUAAUUCUUUAUCUCGCUUUUGUUAGGUGCUGCCCCCCCGGCCGUUAAACCCCCAAUUUUUUCUGGUUGACCUCGGAUCAGGUAGGAAUACCCGCUGAACUUAA
This 249-nucleotide unclassified non-coding RNA is filed under the name Nigrospora sp. Its description in RNAcentral is "partial contains 5.8S ribosomal RNA, internal transcribed spacer 2, and large subunit ribosomal RNA". Lineage: Eukaryota; Fungi; Ascomycota; Sordariomycetes; Amphisphaeriales; Apiosporaceae. The record is from RNAcentral. RNAcentral also lists the same sequence under 2 other names.